RNAcentral lists this ribosomal RNA (253 nucleotides) under uncultured bacterium. RNAcentral's name for it is "partial 16S ribosomal RNA". It matches the Rfam family "Bacterial small subunit ribosomal RNA", at positions 524 to 776 of the family's 1533-position model. The record is from RNAcentral.
UACGUAGGGUGCGAGCGUUGUCCGGAAUCACUGGGCGUAAAGGGCGCGUAGGCGGCCUGAUAAGUAGGGGGUGAAAUCCUGCGGCUUAACCGCAGGGCUGCCUUCUAAACUGUCAGGCUUGAGCACAGUAGAGGCAGGUGGAAUUCCCGGUGUAGCGGUGGAAUGCGUAGAGAUCGGGAAGAACAUCAGUGGCGAAGGCGGCCUGCUGGGCUGUUGCUGACGCUGAGGCGCGACAGCGUGGGGAGCAAACAGG